This 76-nucleotide ribozyme is filed under the name Crocodylus porosus (Australian saltwater crocodile). RNAcentral describes it as "Mammalian CPEB3 ribozyme (ENSCPRG00005006371.1)". The stretch from base 11 to 76 matches the Rfam family "Mammalian CPEB3 ribozyme", at positions 13 to 78 of the family's 78-position model. From Rfam's summary of the family: The mammalian CPEB3 ribozyme is a self cleaving RNA located in the second intron of the CPEB3 gene which belongs to a family of genes regulating messenger RNA polyadenylation. This ribozyme is highly conserved and found only in mammals. Lineage: Eukaryota; Metazoa; Chordata; Crocodylia; Crocodylidae. The record is from RNAcentral.
AACUACCAUAAUGGCCAUAGCAGAAGCAUUUACAACACAGCCCUUGUCAGAUUCCAAUGAGUCUGCAAAUUCUGCU